This 468-nucleotide ribosomal RNA is filed under the name uncultured bacterium. RNAcentral describes it as "partial 16S ribosomal RNA". It matches the Rfam family "Bacterial small subunit ribosomal RNA", at positions 28 to 507 of the family's 1533-position model. The record is from RNAcentral.
GACGAACGCUGGCGGCGUGCUUAACACAUGCAAGUCGAACGGAAAGGCCCCGCUUUUGUGGGGUGCUCGAGUUGCGAACGGGUGAGUAACACGUGAGUAACCUGCCCUUGACUUUGGGAUUAGUUCAGGAAACUGGGGCUAAUAUCGGAUAGGAGCUCCUGCUGCAUGGUGGGGGUUGGAAAGUUGCGGCGGUUGGGGAUGGACUCGCGGCUUAUCAGCUCUUUGGGGGGGUAGUGGCUUACCAAGGCUUUGACGGGUAGCCGGCCUCAGAGGGUGACGGGCCACAUUGGGACUGAUAUACGGCCCAGCCUCCUACGGGAGGCAGCAAUGGGGAAUAGUGUACAGUGGGCGGAAGGCUGAAGCAGUAACGCCGCGUGCGUGAUGACGCCCUUCGGGUUGUAAACCGCUUUCGCCUGUGACGAAGCGUGAUUGACGGUAAUGGGUAAAGAAGCACCGGCUAACUACGUG